RNAcentral lists this unclassified non-coding RNA (329 nucleotides) under soil metagenome. RNAcentral's name for it is "partial contains 5.8S ribosomal RNA, internal transcribed spacer 2, and large subunit ribosomal RNA". The stretch from base 1 to 120 matches the Rfam family "5.8S ribosomal RNA", at positions 35 to 154 of the family's 154-position model. The record is from RNAcentral.
GAUGAAGAACGUAGCGAAAUGCGAUAAGUAGUGUGAAUUGCAGAAUUCAGUGAAUCAUCGAAUCUUUGAACGCACAUUGCGCCCCUUGGUAUCCCGAGGGGCAUGCCUGUUCGAGCGUCAUUUCACCACUCAAGCCUGGCUUGGUGUUGGGCGACGUCCCCUUUGGGGACGCGCCUCGAAACGCUCGGCGGCGUGGCACCGGCUUUAAGCGUAGCAGAAUCUUUCGCUUUGGAAGUCGGGGCCCCGUCUGCCGGAAGACCUACUCGUAAGGUUGACCUCGGAUCAGGCAGGGAUACCCGCUGAACUUAAGCAUAUCAAUAAGCGGAGGA